GAUGAACGCUGGCGGCGUGCCUAAUACAUGCAAGUCGAGCGAACAGACGAGGAGCUUGCUCCUCUGACGUUAGCGGCGGACGGGUGAGUAACACGUGGAUAACCUACCUAUAAGACUGGGAUAACUUCGGGAAACCGGAGCUAAUACCGGAUAAUAUAUUGAACCGCAUGGUUCAAUAGUGAAAGACGGUUUUGCUGUCACUUAUAGAUGGAUCCGCGCCGCAUUAGCUAGUUGGUAAGGUAACGGCUUACCACGGCAACGAUGCGUAGCCGACCUGAGAGGGUGAUCGGCCACACUGGAACUGAGACACGGUCCAGACUCCUACGGGAGGCAGCAGUAGGGAAUCUGCCGCAAUGGGCGAAAGCCUGACGGAGCAACGCCGCGUGAGUGAUGAAGGUCUUCGGAUCGUAAAACUCUGUUAUUAGGGAAGAACAAAUGUGUAAGUAACUAUGCACGUCUUGACGGUACCUAAUCAGAAAGCCACGGCUAACUACGUG
RNAcentral lists this ribosomal RNA (497 nucleotides) under uncultured bacterium. Its description in RNAcentral is "partial 16S ribosomal RNA". It matches the Rfam family "Bacterial small subunit ribosomal RNA", at positions 28 to 507 of the family's 1533-position model. The record is from RNAcentral.